GGCCUGCCAGGCCGCCAUGGAUCUUCCAUGCCACCUACUGCUUUCAAGAAGCGCUUUCCAACUCUUACCCCUCCACCGGAGACUAUUAGAGUGUAUAUUUUGUUACGUAUUCUUCUGUUGAUUGACGGAGCCACUUGUCUAGAGAAAAAUAGCAGUAAAAUCAUAGGAUGUGGAACGUGCCCUAGUGGAGACCGCUUUCUCUGCUUUCUCUUCCUAGACCUAGGGUUGAAAGGUAGGAGGUGUGAGGAGGACAAAGAGCUUUAUGGGUAUGAGGCCAGACAUGGUGGCCUCCUCACUGUUUUGUUCAGAACGUUUUCCUUGGUAAAAGAAACAAAGAUUAAAGAGCAUUUGCCUGCC
This 357-nucleotide long non-coding RNA is filed under the name Rattus norvegicus (Norway rat). Its description in RNAcentral is "long non-coding RNA NONRATT001905". Lineage: Eukaryota; Metazoa; Chordata; Mammalia; Rodentia; Muridae. The record is from RNAcentral.